Molecule: long non-coding RNA, 365 nt
Filed under: Ananas comosus (pineapple)
Lineage: Eukaryota; Viridiplantae; Streptophyta; Magnoliopsida; Poales; Bromeliaceae
Description: long non-coding RNA (ACOM_LNC008784)
Source: RNAcentral
AUAGUCCUCUUUAGGCCUUUCAUCAAGUAAUCUGCAAAAUUUCUGAUCAGAUUGGAAAAAACUCAAAAAUAAUAAUAUCAUGAGAGGUUAGUCAUCUAACAUACUUCUAUUUUAAUUUAAUAUGUCAGUUAAUUUUAGAAUUUACUAAUUUUAUUUACAAGCUAAACAUUAGGAUAAACAAAAUGAAAUCACGAGGGCAAUUAUAAUAUCAAAAUUUAUCAAACUGAUAAAAGAGCUUCCCCCACAAUUUCUGAGAUAUACUAAAAUUUAAAAUUAUGAAAUUUAAUUUUGUUUAAUAAAGUUCGGUUCAACAGCAAAUAGAUGGCAGAAACAAUUUUUUUUUUUUUUAAAAUUGAUUUCAAUUA